GGCUGGGUUGGUUGCUUUGAGGGUGCGUUUCGUAGGGUCCUUCCUUCGUUGGCUCCUCCCCGUCCUCUUGGUGCUGCGCCCCCACCCCAGAUGUGUAGAGCGCACCAGUCCGUCUGGCGGGAGGCGUGGCGCCCAGCGUGCCCGGGGGGGAGGGGCCCGGCGCCUGGAUCUCUCUGGUGUGCUCGGGACUGGAGUUCAGGCGAAGUGGGUGGCCACGAGAAUCCAAGCGCACGGGGACGAUUUCCCUGGCGGCUGGCCGAAGCCAUGUCCUUCUCGCGGAACAAGACAGCCAGGCGUCCUGGAGCGGACGGAGGUCUCGGCUGACGUCUGUGGAACCCGCUGCCCACUGCCCGCCCCUUGGCCGGGCUUGGACGCUUGGGGCGGCGCCGGAUGAGUGAAUCGAACUGCCUGGGCGUCCCGGGAGAAAGCAAGGCCCCGACAGGGCGGGGAAGCGGCGCCUGCCUGCGGAUUCGGAAGUGGGGUCCGGGUCCCGUCCCUCCCGGCCCCGGCGGAAGUGGCGGUAUGCUGCUGGCCGGGGUGCUGCCGUGGCGGAUCCAGCCACUGCCCCCCUGCCCCCCGCGGAGGUCCCAGGCUGCGGCGGGGUCGCGGACGGGCGCAAAAGGGGGAGUAGAGUCGGGGGCCGCUGGAGAAGCACAGCGACAACAGAGGGACAAAAGAAGGCAGGGAGCCGUCGGAAGAGCCAAAAAGCCUACAGCACCCGGUAUUCCCAGGCGGUCUCCCAUCCAAGUACUAACCAGGCCCGACCCUGCUUAGCUUCCGAGAUCAGACGAGAUCGGGCGCGUUCAGGGUGGUAUGAAGCCUACAGCACCCGGUAUUCCCAGGCGGUCUCCCAUCCAAGUACUAACCAGGCCCGACCCUGCUUAGCUUCCGAGAUCAGACGAGAUCGGGCGCGUUCAGGGUGGUAUGGCCGUAGACGCUGGCGGUGGCCUGUGCCUGCCCCAAAAGGCGGCCCGCAGCCACGCCCGCCCGACUCCAGGCCUCACGGCCAGCCCGCCCGCCCGCGGCCAGCCUGGGCCGCUCUUCCACUCUAUGCCCUGGCACCCCCGGCGCCGCGCUGCGCCUUGCGUCGGCCUCUCAGAGCCUCCCGUUGUCGCUGGCGGGGACGACAGGGUAUGCUCCGAGCGGUCAGGGUCCUGGGACUUCCUCCGGCCCUCCGCCUUGCAGCCGCCGCCGCCGCCGAGGGAUACUUGUGGAUCCGUCGCCGCCCCUCCGGCAAGGUCCCCUCUUGCCCCUUCCACUCAGAGCCGCCGCGGCUGCCCAGGAACGAAGGGCCGGCCCGGCCCCGCGGGUUCUUUUUCUCACAACGCACCCACCACGGUCCCUUGUCCGGCUCAGGGGCCGGGGAGGCGGAGCCCUUGCUGUGUCCCGCGCUGGCGCUAGAGCCGGCAGCCUGAUCCCGGCAAGAGAGGGGCCGAGGCACUCGCAGAAGGAGAGCAGAGGACAGCCAAAUGGAGAGACAGAAACAAACGGAGAGAGACACACAGACGACAGAGGCGGACAGACAGACACACACACAGAAAGACACGGGGUGAGGGGGGAGAGGGGGAGAGAGACAGACAGACAGACAGAGAGAGAGAGAGAGAGAGAGAGAGAGAGAGAGAGAGACGGAGACGGAGACAGAGACCGACAGAACGAGCGCCAGCUAGAGGGGGGAGAACAGAAAGGGAGGGGCUGAGGCAGCUAGAGAGCCACAGCGAUAGAGCCUUGGCGUGCCAGCGCUCUGCUCUAAUAGACAGGGCCUCUUGGAGCAGGCCGACGUGGGGUGGAGGCUGCUUGGGCUGGGUCAGGACCGGAUGGCAGGGCCGCCCACGCGGCAGGACCGCCGGCGCCCUGACAGGUGUUUCUUCUUGGCUUGGUUGGGUGCGCUGGGAGGGGCGGGUGCGUUUGCCGGGGUCCUUCCUUUGUUGGCUCCUCCCCGACCACUUGCUGCGGUGGGCCCCGCGAUCUGCAGAGAGACGGGGCCCGAGGCCUGCGUCUCUCUCGUGCCCUCGAGGCUGGUGUUUUCGCGAAGUUGGCGGCGGUGGUGUAGGGCUCAUGGCCCCGCAGGGUCGUGGGGUGAGCCUUAGGCCGUGCUGAGGCGCAGGGUCCGAGAAAUAGAGAGACAGGACACAGAAGUACAAGAGAAACGCAGCUGGGCUGGGGGGCCGGGGGGCCGGGGGUCGGGGGGGGGGCACGCCACCUAUAAGCAGAGUCGGGCGAGGUCCCGAAUGUCCCGAAGCAUGAGUAUUUACGGUGUACAGGUUAGGGGGCAGGGCAGUGAGUGAAAUCAUCUUUAAAGAUAGUGAUAGGGUCAUGAGCAAUAAAACAUCGCGUCCACCUCCAUUAGGUCACCUAGGCCAGGAGGUGGACAGUGCACGGCGAGGGGCCCGUUCCCACGAAGGCAAGGGCCGUGCUCAGUAAGGGGUCCACCCCCAUCAGGUCACCGAGGUUUGAAGGCCGGCCGUGCGCAGUGUGCAAUACUUCUAUCUACGGUCAAACUACUUCUAAGAAGAUUUAUAGGAGGAUGCUUUAAGUCACAAAGCGGUGACAGAGCUGUCAGGGUUACAGGUUUCCCUUAAAUCAUGCUCUGCAGUGUGUCUGCUCUAAGGCAUUCCUCUGAUUGUACGCUGCUUAUUCCUUAAUUCAUGCUCUGUACCGUGUCCACUCCAGGCAUUCCUGCGAUUAGGAACUAAGAUAGGAUUUUUAGCUAUAUAUGUAGGGAAAUACUCUUUAGGCACUCGUGCUCUCAACUAUUAUAUGAUUAUAUAGAGAGGAUGAUAUAAAGGGAUUCGUCAAGCCCUAUUUCUAUAAACUAAUAUGUGAUUAUAUAAACGACUGUCUAGAAGGAAAUCGCUGAGUAGUAACGCGAUAAAGUGGGAUAUUCCUCAAGCCCCAACUGUG
RNAcentral lists this long non-coding RNA (2901 nucleotides) under Callithrix jacchus (white-tufted-ear marmoset). RNAcentral describes it as "lncRNA (ENSCJAG00000071425.1)". Lineage: Eukaryota; Metazoa; Chordata; Mammalia; Primates; Cebidae. The record is from RNAcentral.